This 373-nucleotide ribosomal RNA is filed under the name uncultured bacterium. RNAcentral describes it as "bacterial SSU rRNA". It matches the Rfam family "Bacterial small subunit ribosomal RNA", at positions 527 to 896 of the family's 1533-position model. The record is from RNAcentral.
GUAGGAGACAAACGUUAUCCGGAGUUACUGGGCGUAAAGGGCGUGUAGGCGGUUUGUUAAGUUUGGCGUGAAAGCUCUCGGCUAAACCGGGAGAGGUCGUUGGAUACUGGCAAACUAGAGGACGGUAGAGGCGUGUGGAAUUCCGGGUGUAGUGGUGAAAUGCGUAGAGAUCCGGAGGAACACCAGUGGCGAAGGCGACACGCUGGGCCGUACCUGACGCUAAAGCGCGACAGCAUGGGGAGCAAACGGGAUUAGAAACCCCGGUAGUCCAUGCCGUAAACGAUGUCAGCUAGAUGUUCAAGACGCGCAAGCGGCUGGGGUAUCGAAGCAAACGCGAUAAGCUGACCGCCUGGGGAGUACGGUCGCAAGGSKA